UGUCUUCAGGGCAGGGUGUAAUUCCCGACCGGCGGUAUAGUCCGCUAGCGCUCCGGCGCAUGAUUUGGUGCAAUUCCAAAACCGACCGUAUAGUCUGGAUGGAAGAAGGCA
Molecule: non-coding RNA, 111 nt
Filed under: uncultured Caecibacter sp.
Lineage: Bacteria; Bacillati; Bacillota; Negativicutes; Veillonellales; Veillonellaceae
Description: FMN riboswitch (RFN element)
Rfam family: FMN riboswitch aptamer (RFN element)
About the family: The RFN element is a highly conserved domain that is found frequently in the 5'-untranslated regions of prokaryotic mRNAs that encode for flavin mononucleotide (FMN) biosynthesis and transport proteins.
Source: RNAcentral